UUUUAAUUAGGAAACAACCCCAAACCCUAAUGACUUCCCCUAAUGACCCCCAUAUAUCCUUGAACCUUGUAUAAAUCCGCGCAAGGUCACUCAAAUUAACCCAAAUGUUCAUCCUCUCUUUCUUCCAGCCAAGAAUCCCCCCGGUAUUUUCCAUUUUCCUCACCUGACUUUGAAUCCCAACCCCCGAAACCCCAGACCAAAAGAUGAAAGUGUCCAAACCUCAUGAUUUUGCUUCCUGUCGUUCAAAUCAUCAUAUGCAUCUGAAGAUUUAUGAGGAUCUCGAACUACAUCAUGAUGAUUCUUGGUCAAGAUGAUUCUUGGUUAAGAGGUCAAACGUAGUGACCUUUGGACAUAGGCUUUGACCAAUAGUCCUUUGGUCUCCAACGACCGAUUUUCUUCAAGGCAUCAACGGGAUCCGGAUGAGUUUAAAACCAAAACAGAAUUUGAGACAAGUCUAAACGUCUACCAGGUUUGAACUUAAUUGGUUUAAAAAACAAACAAAGUGAACCAUACCAUUUUGAAACAAAAGAGACAAGCCAUGCUAUUCAAACAAGUGAGUGCCCAAUCAUCAAACAGGUUCCACAAUAUUUUGGUUUCCAUACAUAUUCUACCCUUUGAACAAAUUGACUUCCAUUUGCCUCCCUCAAGCCUUCAGUGCCGCAAUUGCGAGGGUUUGCAUUUGCGAUCCCAUGUCGUAAUUGCAACAUCUGUAACUGAUCAAAUAGCUGGGAGAUGGGAGGCUAUGGGGGAUCGCAGAUGCGGCUUUUUGACCAAAGCGACGGUUCCAUAGAUGCUGUUAAGUGACCGCAGGUGCGGAAAUCACUGGGCAGAUGUGCAUUAAUUUCAAGACUUAGCCCAUUUUUCCACACACUUCUACUUGGUCUUGGGAGGAUUUGAGAGCACGUUUGUGGAGGAUUCUCAUCAACUUCAAGAGUUUCGGAGUCCUUGACGUCGUUUGAGGAGUCCUAGUGAGGUUGGAGAGCUGGAAUGCAUGCUUGGAAUCGAGAUCUUGAAGCUGAGAUGUUGUGGAUGACGGGAGUUAGCACUAAAGACAUACAUGCAUUCCAGAUAUGGCUAUCACUUGUCCUUGGUAGCUUUAGACUUGAAUUUUAUUUAUGUACAUUCCAAACCUGUGUUGUAUUUAUUUCAUAUCAGUUUUGUAAUCUAAGUCUUAGUUGCUCAUGAAUUGUACUACCAAUCAUUGGGAUAUUGUAUGGGAAUUUAGUAACUUCACUUAUUGAUUUCAUAUUAAUUUCAGUAGUAUUGUGUUAGCUGUUAUUUGGCUUACCUAGUGGGUUGGGUUAGGUGCCAUUACGACUAGGCAGAUUUUGGGUCGUGACAGUAAUGUCGUGCAAUUAUUUUUAUAUUAUAAUGUGAGAAUGAGAGUUCAUGGCA
This is a long non-coding RNA of Nicotiana tabacum (common tobacco), 1395 nucleotides long. RefSeq lists it as uncharacterized. The record is from RefSeq and is a predicted model, not a curated record. NCBI's taxonomy places the organism in Eukaryota, Viridiplantae, Streptophyta, Magnoliopsida, Solanales, Solanaceae.